AGCUACAGACCCGAUUGAUACACUGUACCUUUGAAAUGCUCUUGUACUUUCUUCCAGAACUGAGGUAGCUGCUAAGUGAAGACAGGCUUUUGUAUGCAUUCUCUAGUGGCAAGAAUCCGGGAAAAGUAAAUGCGGUGUCUCUAAGUUUUACUAUAGAUGCUGCCCCCACACAAGUGAAACUCCACUUAGGACUCCACAGCAUCUGCCCAAGCUUUAUUAUGGAAUCCAGGCAACACGAGGCUUUACGACCAUUUCAUCAAGGCCCAGACUCACACCAUUAACUGUCUACAGUGGAGUCCUGGAAUGUUUCCUUGUACUCUUCUUUUGGGGUAUAGAGAAUGCCUUAAAAAGCAGCGUCCCAAAUUUAAACACAUCGAACAGGAACUUCCGGAAUACUUUGCAACUUACCAGUUUGUAUGCUGCUAUACUAUAGAGUGCAAAUGGCCAAUAUGUACCCAUCUAACAAAGCGAACAGUUACCGCUCACUGCGAAAGAUGAAGAGGAAGGGUCCAGACAAAGCCAAGGCAACUAUCCAUUGGUCAACUGGAAAAGAACGAAGCACAAAGGCCAAAUGUUCAGUCAUGUCUUAGUGUUUCCAAUUCUUACACAUUUGGCAAAUGCACGUGAAAUGCUGCACAUUACACACACCUGCCAUCAAGUCGGUGAAUAUACCUGUCUCAUGUUCAGUGGAAAAAAAGCACUAGCUUUACAGUUGAAAAACAUGGUAGAAAAUCAGAAUAUUUAAGAUAAG
This is a long non-coding RNA of Heterocephalus glaber (naked mole-rat), 751 nucleotides long. NCBI's taxonomy places the organism in Eukaryota, Metazoa, Chordata, Mammalia, Rodentia, Bathyergidae. The record is from Ensembl.